This is a long non-coding RNA of Sinocyclocheilus rhinocerous, 212 nucleotides long. RefSeq lists it as uncharacterized. NCBI's taxonomy places the organism in Eukaryota, Metazoa, Chordata, Actinopteri, Cypriniformes, Cyprinidae. The record is from RefSeq and is a predicted model, not a curated record. The transcript has 3 exons.
ACAGCAGCUGAACUUUAAGUACUUGUCUCCACCAUGCUCUGGAUCAUCAGCUGUUUUGCUUUGGUGGCCUCCACUCUGGGUUGUGGAGUGCCUGCCAUUAAGCCAGUAAUCAGCGGCUACAACAAAAUUGCUAAUGGAGAGAAUGCAGUGUCUGGUUCCUGGCCCUGGCAGGUCUCUCUCCAGCAAUCCAAUGGCUUCCAUUUUUGCGGAGG